UUUAGAAUCAUCUUUAAUUAGAUCGCUGGGAAAUUUUAAAUUCAGGUGUCCAUUCUCUUAAGACUUUCAGAAUUACCUUAUAUCUUCAUGGCAGUGAAACGAUACAUGCAGUGUGUUGGUUGCUAAUUGUGAUUGAACUGCUAAAGAUAUUUCUUGCUUACUACUUAGUAGAAAGUAAAAAGUGACUAAACAUCAAUGGUUUUAAAAGUAGCAAAAUGACUGGCCAUGCUUUUUCGAGAGGGAGAUGCUUGAAAGAAGCAAAUU
This 264-nucleotide unclassified non-coding RNA is filed under the name Hevea brasiliensis (rubber tree). The record is from RNAcentral. Lineage: Eukaryota; Viridiplantae; Streptophyta; Magnoliopsida; Malpighiales; Euphorbiaceae.